RNAcentral lists this long non-coding RNA (954 nucleotides) under Physcomitrium patens. Its description in RNAcentral is "long non-coding RNA (PPAT_LNC013520)". The record is from RNAcentral. Lineage: Eukaryota; Viridiplantae; Streptophyta; Bryopsida; Funariales; Funariaceae.
UUUUAAGUGUUGCUUCACGAGAUUGUAGUUUCCCGAGUUUGGAGUGGGGAAUGUGGUCCUGUUGCAACAGAGUGAUUGGGAAGUCGCAUCACUAAUAAUCUCCAUGGUAAAGUUUGAUUAUUCGCGUGCGUGUAUUCGUGACUUUCGGCAGUGGGUUCCAUGAACAGAGUAAUGUCGCGGCCAUUGAAGCUAUGCACAUCAAUUACGAGUGGUGAUUUUUGAUAGAUCACAAGAUUUGUCCCAGCACCUCACUUGAGAUGCCGCAUUGAUCAAGGCAGUAUCGACAAUGCGUGUGUGAUAGACUAAUCAAUAAAUCGGACGCCAUUUGAAAGCACGCAUAUUGAAGUCAAAGUCUUUACUAGUCGUUAUUUGUUCUGCUUUAAGCACGUGAGUAUAAUCUGAGGUUGAUGCGUGACUCGCACAGGUGAGGCUGGCAGCAGGACUUGGAUCUACUUCCUUUGUAAUGAGCAGGCACAUAAACUUCAAUGGCAGCCAACGUGUAUGCUGAAGAUAUGAGGGUCUCAUUCAAUUCAGUUAUUCUUGUACGUUAGCGAUGAAUUUCUUUCUCCUGAGAGAAUCGAAGGAUGUGCUUAGAGAGUGAUUAUUUUACUCUCAGAGCCCAUCAAUAGCUCAAGUGCUUUAGCUGUGUACGUGCCGUAUUAUGAAGCAGAAGGCUUUACUCACAUAACAUAGCUUCCCUGCAGCGAAGUCGAUGAUGAAUAUACAAUCUCAUUUCGGUUCCGCAAAAGACUUUCAUUCUCAUUAUUCUACAUCGAAAAGCAAUAUAUCUAGUUCGAAAGGUCGACAUACCAAGAAUUCCUUCCAAUUGCAACCCCAGCAGAACUGAAUUUGGCACUUAGUUUGCAAUGUAACACUCCACCUAUUAACGAUGACAUCUUCAAACGAAAAUGAGAGCUUAAUCUUAACAGUUCCAACCACAUCGGAUUCUAAAGA